AAUAUAAUUUCGGUUUGGGUUGACAAAGUAGUGGUUAGGGUUUAGAUUUUGUAAUUAACGGUUUGGGUUGAAAAAAUUAGAAGUUUGGGUUGAUAAAUUAUCGCGGUAACAACUUAUUUAACAUGUUCAAAAAUAAGUUAUCGAAUGCUAUUAAUCACGGAUGAACAGUGUUAUCGAAUUCUAUCAAUCAUAAAUGAAUAGUGUUAGUCUUAAUUUAACUGAUAAUAUGUAAAUUAUCGCGAUAACAAAUUAUUCAACAUGUUUAAAAGUAAGUUAUCGAAUGCUAUGAACAGUGUUACGUAUCCUACUCUCUUUUGUUUGUUUUUGCUAAAUCAAAUCAGGGUCAAAAAUGUAAUUU
RNAcentral lists this long non-coding RNA (358 nucleotides) under Capsella grandiflora. Its description in RNAcentral is "long non-coding RNA (CGRA_LNC000091)". Lineage: Eukaryota; Viridiplantae; Streptophyta; Magnoliopsida; Brassicales; Brassicaceae. The record is from RNAcentral.